GACGAACGCUGGCGGCGUGCCUAAUACAUGCAAGUAGAACGCUGAAGGAGGAGCUUGCUUCUCCGGAUGAGUUGCGAACGGGUGAGUAACGCGUAGGUAACCUGCCUGGUAGCGGGGGAUAACUAUUGGAAACGAUAGCUAAUACCGCAUAAUAGUAGAUGUUGCAUGACAUUUACUUAAAAGGUGCAAUUGCAUCACUACCAGAUGGACCUGCGUUGUAUUAGCUAGUUGGUGGGGUAACGGCUCACCAAGGCGACGAUACAUAGCCGACCUGAGAGGGUGAUCGGCCACACUGGGACUGAGACACGGCCCAGACUCCUACGGGAGGCGGCAGUAGGGAAUCUUCGGCAAUGGACGGAAGUCUGACCGAGCAACGCCGCGUGAGUGAAGAAGGUUUUCGGAUCGUAAAGCUCUGUUGUAAGAGAAGAACGAGUGUGGGAGUGGAAAGUUCACACUGUGACGGUAUCUUACCAGAAAGGGACGGCUAACUACGUGCCAGCAGCCGCGGUAAUACGUAGGUCCCGAGCGUUGUCCGGAUUUAUUGGGCGUAAAGCGAGCGCAGGCGGUUAGAUAAGUCUGAAGUUAAAGGCUGUGGCUUAACCAUAGUACGCUUUGGAAACUGUUUAACUUGAGUGCAAGAGGGGAGAGUGGAAUUCCAUGUGUAGCGGUGAAAUGCGUAGAUAUAUGGAGGAACACCGGUGGCGAAAGCGGCUCUCUGGCUUGUAACUGACGCUGAGGCUCGAAAGCGUGGGGAGCAAACAGG
This 763-nucleotide ribosomal RNA is filed under the name uncultured Streptococcus sp. RNAcentral describes it as "bacterial SSU rRNA". It matches the Rfam family "Bacterial small subunit ribosomal RNA", at positions 28 to 776 of the family's 1533-position model. The record is from RNAcentral. Lineage: Bacteria; Bacillati; Bacillota; Bacilli; Lactobacillales; Streptococcaceae.